This 447-nucleotide ribosomal RNA is filed under the name uncultured marine bacterium. Its description in RNAcentral is "bacterial SSU rRNA". It matches the Rfam family "Bacterial small subunit ribosomal RNA", at positions 360 to 804 of the family's 1533-position model. The record is from RNAcentral.
AAUAUUGGUCAAUGGAGGCAACUCUGAACCAGCCAUGCCGCGUGCAGGAAGACUGCCCUAUGGGUUGUAAACUGCUUUUAUACAGGAAGAAACUUAUCCACGUGUGGAUAACUGACGGUACUGUACGAAUAAGGACCGGCUAACUCCGUGCCAGCAGCCGCGGUAAUACGGAGGGUCCAAGCGUUAUCCGGAAUCAUUGGGUUUAAAGGGUCCGUAGGCGGGCGAUUAAGUCAGAGGUGAAAUCCCACAGCUCAGCUGUGGAACUGCCUUUGAUACUGGUUGUCUUGAGUUACAGUGAAGUAGAUAGAAUAUGUAGUGUAGCGGUGAAAUGCAUAGAUAUUACAUAGAAUACCGAUUGCGAAGGCAGUCUACUAACUGUUAACUGACGCUAAGGGACGAAAGCGUGGGGAGCGAACAGGAUUAGAUACCCUGGUAGUCCACGCCGUA